Molecule: small RNA, 145 nt
Filed under: bovine gut metagenome
Description: Clostridiales-1 RNA
Rfam family: Clostridiales-1 RNA
Source: RNAcentral
GAACAAGCCACUGCGUCAUGCUCGCAUGAAAGCAGGGGCUUGUUCUCAUUGCACGCCCCGCCAUGAGCAAGUAGAGGGGAGGAUUCCCCUUGGAUUGCGAAUGACGGGAGGAUUGCGAGAGUGCUUUGCACGCAGCAAUCCGUGG